Molecule: ribosomal RNA, 467 nt
Filed under: uncultured bacterium
Lineage: Bacteria
Description: partial 16S ribosomal RNA
Rfam family: Bacterial small subunit ribosomal RNA
Source: RNAcentral
CUACGGGGUGCAGCAGUGGGGAAUAUUGGACAAUGGGGGAAACCCUGAUCCAGCAAUGCCGCGUGUGUGAAGAAGGCCUGCGGGUUGUAAAGCACUUUCGGUUGGGAGGACUGCUUCUAGCACUAAUAUUGUUGGAAGUUGACGUUACCUUCAGAAGAAGCACCGGCUAACUCCGUGCCAGCAGGGCCGCGGUAAUACGGAGGGUGCAAGCGUUAAUCGGACUUACUGGGCGUAAAGCGCGCGUAGGCGGCUAGAUCAGUCGGGUGUGAAAGCCCCGGGCUUAACCUGGGAACUGCAUCCGAUACUGUCUAGCUUGAGUACAGGAGAGGAGAGUGGAAUUCCACAUGUAGCGGUGAAAUGCGUAGAUAUGUGGAGGAACACCAAUGGCGAAGGCAGCUCUCUGGCCUGAUACUGACGCUGAGGUGCGAAAGCGUGGGGAGCAAACAGGAUUAGAUACCCCUGUAGUC